GUCCACGCCCUAAACGAUGGAUACUAGAUAUGCGGCCUUGUGUUGCGUGUCCAAGCUAAAGCGAUAAGUAUCCCACCUGGGGAGUACGCUCGCAAGGGUGAAACUCAAAGGAAUUGACGGGGGCCCGCACAAGCGGAGGAGCAUGUGGUUUAAUUCGAUGGUACGCGAGGAACCUUACCUAGGCUAAAUCUGAGUGAAGUAUGCAGAAAUGUGUGCGUCCGCAAGGACACAAAAAGAAGGUGCUGCAUGGCUGUCGU
RNAcentral lists this ribosomal RNA (257 nucleotides) under uncultured bacterium. RNAcentral's name for it is "partial 16S ribosomal RNA". It matches the Rfam family "Bacterial small subunit ribosomal RNA", at positions 793 to 1055 of the family's 1533-position model. The record is from RNAcentral.